Cherax quadricarinatus is the source of this 808-nucleotide non-coding RNA. NCBI's taxonomy places the organism in Eukaryota, Metazoa, Arthropoda, Malacostraca, Decapoda, Parastacidae. The record is from RefSeq and is a predicted model, not a curated record.
UUGAUCUUCGUGCUGAGGAUCGGUAGCCACGACCACACACCGUCCUGCCAUGUGGACCUGACUGACCCACAGAGAGCACUCGACAAGGGCGUCAUCCUACAGUACACUAAUAAUAACGGUAUAGCUUGGACUACCAUCAACGUUCACGACCCACUCGACUUCAGAAAGGCACGUCGUGUAGCUUAUACUCUGCCAGUGGAAGCUAGACGGUACGGAGUACAGCUAAGAUGGUGGCAGCCUGACCACGAUGGUCCAGCUACUGAUCAGUGGGCCCUUGAUAACGUCGAAAUUGUUCUAGCUCAGAGGAAAGACACCAGCAGGUACGGCCAGGAAACCUAUCAUGAGACCGAACUGUGAGCUGCUGCUUCGCCGCAACAACAGCCACCAUUCCCAACAAUACAGAGACCAAAACGAUCUCCACAUCACCAAUACCAACAACACUACAUCCACCACCACUACCACCACAAACAAUGCAACUACAACUAGCCACUCUGGUAGCACUACAACAAGUGCCACUACCACCCACAAUCUCUAGCACAAUACUGACCCACAGUAAAACCACAACUACCACCACCGCCCUAAGGAACUACCAGCAAAUUGACCCACACUAAUACCACCACCCACAGUAUCUACCACCUUACUGACCCACACUCACACCACCUCCCACGGUAUCUACAACCUUACUGACCCACACUAAAACGACCACCCACGGUAACUACCACCUUACUGACCCACACUCACACCACCACCCACGGUAUCUACCACCUUACUGACCACACUAACACCACCACCCACGGUAACUACCACC